ACGGUCCUAAGGUAGCGAAAUUCCUUGUCGGGUAAGUUCCGACCCGCACGAAAGGUGUAACGAUUUGGGCACUGUCUCAACGAGGGACCCGGUGAAAUUGAAAUACCUGUGAAGAUGCAGGUUACCCGCGACUGGACAGAAAGACCCCAUGGAGCUUCACUGCAGCUUGAGAUUGAAUCCCGGUGACAGAUGCACAGGAUAGGUGGGAGGCGUCGAAGCAUUGCCCUAGGGCGGUGCGGAGCCGAUGUUGGGAUACCACCCUUCUGUUGCUGAGAUUCUAACGCGAGGAGUAACGACCCUGCGGACCCUCUCAGGCAGGCGGUUUGACUGGGGCGGUCGCCUCCGAAAGAGUAACGGAGGCGCCCAAAGGUUCCCUCAGCGCGGCCGGAAAUCGCGCGAAGAGUGUAAAGGCAGAAGGGAGCUUGACUGCGAGUCAAACACGACGAGCAGGUACGAAAGUAGGGCUUAGUGAUCCGGUGGUACCGAGUGGAAGGGCCAUCGCUCAACGGAUAAAAGCUACCCUGGGGAUAACAGGCUAAUCUCUCCCAAGAGUCCAUAUCGACGGGGAGGUUUGGCACCUCGAUGUCGGCUCAUCACAUCCUGGGGCUGAAGUCGGUCCCAAGGGUUGGGCUGUUCGCCCAUUAAAGUGGUACGUGAGCUGGGUUCAGAACGUCGUGAGACAGUUCGGUCCCUAUCCAUCGCGGGCGCAAGAGAUUUGAAGGGGGCUGCUCCUAGUACGAGAGGACCGGAGUGGACGAACCGCUGGUGUACCAAUUAUCCCGCCAGGGGUACAGUUGGGUAGCUACGUUCGGAAAGGAUAAACGCUGAAAGCAUCUAAGCGUGAAACCAGCCUUAAGAUGAGAUCUCUCAUAGAGCAAUCUAGUAAGACACCUUAAAGAAGAUGAGGUUGAUAGGUCGGGAGUGUAAGUACAGCAAUGUAUUGAGCGGACCGAUACUAAUAUGUCGAGGGCUUGACUUA
This 979-nucleotide ribosomal RNA is filed under the name human gut metagenome. Its description in RNAcentral is "bacterial LSU rRNA". It matches the Rfam family "Bacterial large subunit ribosomal RNA", at positions 1945 to 2925 of the family's 2925-position model. The record is from RNAcentral.